This 37-nucleotide non-coding RNA is filed under the name Leptotrichia hofstadii F0254. Lineage: Bacteria; Fusobacteriati; Fusobacteriota; Fusobacteriia; Fusobacteriales; Leptotrichiaceae. The record is from RNAcentral.
GUUAAAAUAGAGUAUCCGUUAAAACAAGGAUUGAAAC